This 542-nucleotide ribosomal RNA is filed under the name uncultured bacterium. RNAcentral describes it as "partial 16S ribosomal RNA". It matches the Rfam family "Bacterial small subunit ribosomal RNA", at positions 355 to 891 of the family's 1533-position model. The record is from RNAcentral.
UGGGGAAUUUUGGACAAUGGGCGCAAGCCUGAUCCAGCCAUGCCGCGUGCGGGAAGAAGGCCUUCGGGUUGUAAACCGCUUUUGUCAGGGAAGGAAUCUUCUGAGUUAAUACCUCGGGAGGAUGACGGUACCUGAAGAAUAAGCACCGGCUAACUACGUGCCAGCAGCCGCGGUAAUACGUAGGGUGCAAGCGUUAAUCGGAAUUACUGGGCGUAAAGCGUGCGCAGGCGGUUUUGUAGGACAGAGGUGAAAUCCCCGGGCUCAACCUGGGAACUGCCUUUGUGACUGCAAGGCUUGAGUGCGGCAGAGGGGGACGGAAUUCCGCGUGUAGCAGUGAAAUGCGUAGAUAUGCGGAGGAACACCGUGACGAAGGCAAUCCCCUGGGCCUGCACUGACGCUCAUGCACGAAAGCGUGGGGAGCAAACAGGAUUAGAUACCCUGGUAGUCCACGCCCUAAACGAUGUCAACUGGUUGUUGGGAAGGUUCCUUCUCAGUAACGUAGCUAACGCGUGAAGUUGACCGCCUGGGGAGUACGGCCGCAA